GGAAUAUUGGGCAAUGGGCGCAAGCCUGACCCAGCAACGCCGCGUGAAGGAAGAAGGCUUUCGGGUUGUAAACUUCUUUUCUCAGGGACGAAGAAAGUGACGGUACCUGAGGAAUAAGCCACGGCUAACUACGUGCCAGCAGCCGCGGUAAUACGUAGGUGGCAAGCGUUGUCCGGAAUUACUGGGUGUAAAGGGAGCGUAGGCGGGAAUGCAAGUUGAAUGUUUAAACUAUGGGCUCAACCCAUAGUCGCGUUCAAAACUGCAUUUCUUGAGUGGAGUAGAGGCAGGCGGAAUUCCUAGUGUAGCGGUGAAAUGCGUAGAUAUUAGGAGGAACACCAGUGGCGAAGGCGGCCUGCUGGGCUCUAACUGACGCUGAGGCUCGAAAGCGUGGGUAGCAAAC
Molecule: ribosomal RNA, 400 nt
Filed under: uncultured bacterium
Lineage: Bacteria
Description: bacterial SSU rRNA
Rfam family: Bacterial small subunit ribosomal RNA
Source: RNAcentral